RNAcentral lists this long non-coding RNA (4672 nucleotides) under Sus scrofa (pig). Its description in RNAcentral is "lncRNA (ENSSSCG00050049169.1)". Lineage: Eukaryota; Metazoa; Chordata; Mammalia; Artiodactyla; Suidae. The record is from RNAcentral.
CUAGGGUCGCACCUGCAGCAUAUGGAGCUUUCCAGGCUAGGGGUCUAAUUGGAGCUACAGCUCCCAUCCUAUGCUACAGCAAUGCUAGAUCUGAGCCACGUCUGUGACCCACACCACAGCUCAUGACAACGCCAGAACCUUAACCCACUGAGCAAGGCCAGGGAUAGAACCCACAUCCUCAUGGAUACCAUGUCAGAUUCUUAACCCACAGAGCAAUAACAGGAGCUCUGAGAUGAAUAUUUUUAGAAGUAGACUUAGUUCUACCAACUGCCCAGAAGUACAGAGCAGGAAUAAAAAGAAAAGUGCUGGUUAGUACUCCAGGAACAACAAAUAAAGGAGUCCAGUCAGAGAGCAACAGCAAGGAGAGGAAGGCAGAGGUCAAGAGCCCACUGGAUUGUCUGAAGAGGGGUCCCUUCUGUAGCAGAGAACCUCUUAUCUGAAGGACUGUGGAGGGGCAAGAGACAAAUUCGAUUGCCGGCCCUGAACAACUGGUGCCAGGCCAAGGACCCCACUCAGUGUCUUCCUAAGCUUGAGCCCAGGCAGAAAAAAGACAAGAGGAAGGAAAUAUACCAACGUGAUUGAAGUGGUUGUGUCUGAACAAUAGGAUUGCCGACAACUGCCAUUUAUCUUUAUGCUGUCCCGUAGUAGCAAUAUAUUCAGCAACAGGUAGGUAUUCAUUUUCAAUACAAAAUUUUUUGCUAUAUAUGCACUUAAAUCAAAAAGCAUUAAAGGUUAAGCACAACAAUGACAUGACAACCAACCGAGCAGCAAAAGAAGAGAGAACGUUCUCUCAGAUCUAACUUGCUCUGGCAAAUCAUUAGCCCAGGUCACCGGCAUCAGUAACAGCACCAUCCUCCCUACUAGCUGUUAUUACUUUAUUGGUGGUAUUAUCAUAGCUACCAUGUACAGAAAGCUUACUCUGGGUUAGGGCACUACACCAGUGCUUUAUACUUACCCUCUUUUAAUUAUCAGAACAUCUUUACAUACUAGGCUCUAUCAUUAUUCCCAUUUACAGAGAAAGAAACAGAGGCCCGAGAGCUUAAACAACUGGCUAAAGAACACAUGGCAAGUAGGUGACUAAGAGGACCAAGAUAUAGAGCCAGACCCUGUCUGAGUCCACAGUUCUAAACCACUUGGUAAAAAUCAAAACAACUUGCUCCGAUAACACGUCUGACCCUUUUCGUCACUCUGCGCUGCUCCUAUGUGCACUUGAGCCUCUCUUGUUCAGGACACCUUCUCAAAUGUAAGCUUCCCAGCCUAAGAAAUUUUUGUCUGUUUUGUUCACAGCCAUGUCCCCAGAGCCAAGAAAAGUGUCUGGCAGAUAACAGACACUCAAUAAACAUUUGUUGAAUGGAUGAAUUAACUCAAAUACAUCAAAUUCUAAGCACAAUAUUCUCUUUGCAGCUGUCCAACUCCUAAAAGCAAAGGCGGCUCCAUACUUUUUAAAUCUUCUACUAUGAUCAAUAUUAUCAUAGUUAUAUUGGCUAGUAGUUCUACUCUUCUCCAAACAGUUUUUCUUUACAUACUGGAUUCAUACCCAGACAACAAUUUCCUAGCUUUGUCUGCAAUUGGCAGGGACUUAUGACUGAGUUCCAGCCAAUGGAAUAUGGGGUAAAGUAACAGAGCCACUUCCAAACCUGACCUGUUAAAAGCCCAAUCUUCCAUACUCUUCUUUCCUUUGCCAGUUGGAAACAUGACAGAAGCAGAAGAGAGAAGAAGCCAGGGUCUCUGCACGUCUACAAGGCUUAGAGUCUUGCUCUACUCGGCUGACCUACAUUGGAGCUAGACAUAAGCAAGGAAUCAAGAAAUUUUAUUAUUUUAUUUUAUUAAGCCUUAGACUCUGGAGUUAUUUGGUACAGCAGUUACUCCUCCCUGAUUAAUGCACAACCAUAUCAAUUAAAAUUUGUUUGAGCAUGAAACGAAUAUAUUACAUAAUACAUUUUAAAAAUAUUUAUGUACUGUAUAUGUAUGUACAUAUAUAUAAAUAAUUGAUAAAUAUGUACAAGACCUACUGUAAUAUAUAAAUCAUAAAACAUAUCAAAACAAAAUUUGAAAAGGAUGGGAUACAGAUGAUAUAAAAACAUCUUAAAAUUUCUUUGUUCCCGCUGUGGCGCAACUGGUCAGCCACAUCUCUGGAGCACUGGGAUGCACGUUCAAUCUCCAACCCAGUACAGUGGGUUAAGGAUCUGGUGUUCUUACAGCUGAAGGGUAGGUAGCAGCUUUCUGGCCCCAGGAGCUCCACAUGUCACAGGGCAGCCAAAAAAAAAAAAAAAUGUUUUUUUUUCUUACAUCAACUAUACUUCAAUUAAACUUUCAAAAAAUGAAAAAAAAAAAUUCUUGCUAAUCCUGAUGGUUCCACUAUAUUACUAGGCAACUUUUCAAGGCAUGUUGUGGCUUAGGAAAAAGUGUACUAUUAACAGUGAUGGAAACAAGUCUAUAUUUCAAAUGGCCUUCUUAGUGAUUAUUUGGUGGCUGACUUUGCACCAGUUCUGAUUAUACCUUUAUAAUUUUCUGUCAUAAUAUGGCUGAUGAAGAGCUCAAAUUAGGACUAGGAGUGACAGCUCUGCCAUUUUAUUGUUGCUCCCUUAUAGCAAUAGUAUUAUUUUCAAUCCAAGGUCUCCUUACAAGGGUUUGUAUAAGCCACUUGUCUAUUUUGUGAAGGUUGGUUUCAUAAAAAUUAGAUCGGACAAUCCAUAAAUCCACUUUACCAGGCACAACUGAAAUGUGAUAUCUCCCAGUCCACUGAGGACAAACGAACAUAUAAAAGUACCAGUAUCAAACUUUCCCUUCCUUUAAGAUGUGUGGAAAGCCUGCCCUUCCUUUGGCAUGUGUCAAUACCAUAUGAUACAUGUAGUCAUGUGACAUCAGAUCAUUUAAGGAUGUUAGGAAUAAUCUACAUACUACAAAUAUGUUAAACUGGAGUUCACCUCAUGGCUCAGUGAAUUAAGAACCCAACUAGUAUCCAUGAGGAUGCAGGUUCAAUCCCUGGCCACUCUCAGUGGGUUAAGGAUCCAAUGUUGCCGCGAGCUAUGGUGUAGGUCACAGACACAUUUUUUUUUUUAUUUAGUUUUUCUCCUUUUUAUUUUAUUUUUUUUAUUUCCCUAUUACAUUAUUUUUUUUCUAGUUGCAGACACAAUUCGGAUCCUGCAUUGCUGUGGAUGUGGUAUAGGCCAGCAGCUGCAGCCACUGUCCUGGCAGGUGUUUUGGACAUGUAAAUCCUAAUGCUCUUUGAAGUCCCCCAUCUGUCCCUCAGCUCCGCAGAGUGUAGGAUAGCCAACAUCACUCCACCUACUUAAGUUCUCUCCUACUUAGUCACUAUCCUAUCCCGAGGUCAGAGUUCUUCCUCUUAUUAUGGGCUAGAAGCCCUGGUUUCCUCACUGCUAGAUAUUAACUAAACUCUCUUCGAUUUGCCCUCAAGAAAUCCUAUCUUAUCCACUCAAGUAAAUGCCUAUGGCUUCAGAUGACUGGGCUGCUAAGUGAUGUGGUGAUAAGACCCUGGGGCUAUGACUUAAAACAUCCAGUUUCCACCAGACUCUCUUCAAUGAAGGCAACAUGGCCCUUUUUAUCUCAGUGUCCAUUUCCAUGGGACAGGGACAGUAGUGCCUGGCUUACCUACUUCCCAGGCACUAUGAAAGGAGUAUAAGAAAUAAAGAACUGUGGGAGAAGAGAUCCUUAGAGCCCUGACUUGAGUGGGCUGCAUGCAGGCUCCACAGAGGGAAACACGGCCAGAAUCUAAGAAGGGAAGUUCUCCAAAACAAUGAGCUGGUUAUCUGAUGCUGCCUUCCAGGAAACCUUGAGAGCAGCUUAGGACAACACAGGACAAGAAAAGCCCUAAAAGAUUCUAGAUUUUUAUUCCUUUAAUCAAAGCCUUGAGAAGUUAAGCUCACAGUAGAUAAUGAAGAGGCAAGGUUCCCUGGGCAUGUAUGCAAAGCAGAGAACAUACAGCAGACUCUCCAACCAGGCAGAGAGCUCCUAGCCAGGGACUGAAUAUCAGGAUCUGGGUAGAGCCUCACAGUGGGCUUUGAAGUCAGGGCUGAGUUCAAGUUGAGGCUCUGAUACUGACAACUUUCAGGCAAUUUAAUCAACCCAGGUAUGCCUCAUUUUCACUAUAGGUAAAGUAAGGACAGUAAUACUUUAAUUCUGUUUAUGAAGCUUUAAUGAAACAGCAGCUAUGCCUGAUAUAAUCCAGGACCUGGCACAUAGAAAAGGUUCCCAAUAAAUAGUUCUUCAUCCUCAUUAUCUUUCACUCUUCUUGCCCUUGCUUAGCCCAUCUUAAAAAGGAAAUAGAUGAGGCAUAGCUAACAUUUGCCAAGUACUUAGGAGUUAGGCUUGGCAAGCGCUUAUCGACAUCAGAGGUUAGAGAAGUGCUUCGUGGUGGGUCAUGCAGAGUGGAUACUCAUGCCCUGCAAGUCCCUGCCAAGAAGUCAUGGGUAAUGAGCAGUGAAAACAAAGCAACAAACCCUAGCCAGGCUGGAGGAGGGACAGCGGGGAGGCAGCUGGCUGCCAGCAGCAAAAAUGACCUUUUCCACUCAAGGGCACCCUAAGUGAAGCGGGUGAAGAGCAAAGAGGACUCAGAAGACCUUGACAAGAGGACCUUGCUUCUUUACCAAGAAAGAGGACCCUCUUGGUCCAAGUCAGCAGAGCUCUACCUAACUUGUCUGUGCAUGUGCCU